RNAcentral lists this ribosomal RNA (1483 nucleotides) under Staphylococcus aureus VET0287R. RNAcentral describes it as "bacterial LSU rRNA". It matches the Rfam family "Bacterial large subunit ribosomal RNA", at positions 1443 to 2925 of the family's 2925-position model. The record is from RNAcentral. Lineage: Bacteria; Bacillati; Bacillota; Bacilli; Caryophanales; Staphylococcaceae.
CCACCUAUAAUCGUUUUAAUCGAUGGGGGGACGCAGUAGGAUAGGCGAAGCGUGCGAUUGGAUUGCACGUCUAAGCAGUAAGGCUGAGUAUUAGGGAAAUCCGGUACUCAUUAAGGCUGAGCUGUGAUGGGGAGAAGACAUUGUGUCUUCGAGUCGUUGAUUUCACACUGCCGAGAAAAGCCUCUAGAUAGAAAAUAGGUGCCCGUACCGCAAACCGACACAGGUAGUCAAGAUGAGAAUUCUAAGGUGAGCGAGCGAACUCUCGUUAAGGAACUCGGCAAAAUGACCCCGUAACUUCGGGAGAAGGGGUGCUCUUUAGGGUUAACGCCCAGAAGAGCCGCAGUGAAUAGGCCCAAGCGACUGUUUAUCAAAAACACAGGUCUCUGCUAAACCGUAAGGUGAUGUAUAGGGGCUGACGCCUGCCCGGUGCUGGAAGGUUAAGAGGAGUGGUUAGCUUCUGCGAAGCUACGAAUCGAAGCCCCAGUAAACGGCGGCCGUAACUAUAACGGUCCUAAGGUAGCGAAAUUCCUUGUCGGGUAAGUUCCGACCCGCACGAAAGGCGUAACGAUUUGGGCACUGUCUCAACGAGAGACUCGGUGAAAUCAUAGUACCUGUGAAGAUGCAGGUUACCCGCGACAGGACGGAAAGACCCCGUGGAGCUUUACUGUAGCCUGAUAUUGAAAUUCGGCACAGCUUGUACAGGAUAGGUAGGAGCCUUUGAAACGUGAGCGCUAGCUUACGUGGAGGCGCUGGUGGGAUACUACCCUAGCUGUGUUGGCUUUCUAACCCGCACCACUUAUCGUGGUGGGAGACAGUGUCAGGCGGGCAGUUUGACUGGGGCGGUCGCCUCCUAAAAGGUAACGGAGGCGCUCAAAGGUUCCCUCAGAAUGGUUGGAAAUCAUUCAUAGAGUGUAAAGGCAUAAGGGAGCUUGACUGCGAGACCUACAAGUCGAGCAGGGUCGAAAGACGGACUUAGUGAUCCGGUGGUUCCGCAUGGAAGGGCCAUCGCUCAACGGAUAAAAGCUACCCCGGGGAUAACAGGCUUAUCUCCCCCAAGAGUUCACAUCGACGGGGAGGUUUGGCACCUCGAUGUCGGCUCAUCGCAUCCUGGGGCUGUAGUCGGUCCCAAGGGUUGGGCUGUUCGCCCAUUAAAGCGGUACGCGAGCUGGGUUCAGAACGUCGUGAGACAGUUCGGUCCCUAUCCGUCGUGGGCGUAGGAAAUUUGAGAGGAGCUGUCCUUAGUACGAGAGGACCGGGAUGGACAUACCUCUGGUGUACCAGUUGUCGUGCCAACGGCAUAGCUGGGUAGCUAUGUGUGGACGGGAUAAGUGCUGAAAGCAUCUAAGCAUGAAGCCCCCCUCAAGAUGAGAUUUCCCAACUUCGGUUAUAAGAUCCCUCAAAGAUGAUGAGGUUAAUAGGUUCGAGGUGGAAGCAUGGUGACAUGUGGAGCUGACGAAUACUAAUCGAUCGAAGACUUAAUCAA